AUUGAACGCUGGCGGCAGGCCUAACACAUGCAAGUCGAACGGAAAGGCCCUGCUUUUGUGGGGUGCUCGAGUGGCGAACGGGUGAGUAACACGUGAGUAACCUGCCCUUGACUUUGGGAUAACUUCAGGAAACUGGGGCUAAUACCGGAUAGGAGCUCCUGCUGCAUGGUGGGGGUUGGAAAGUUUCGGCGGUUGUGGAUGGACUCGCGGCUUAUCAGCUUGUUGGUGGGGUAGUGGCUUACCAAGGCUUUGACGGGUAGCCGGCCUGAGAGGGUGACCGGCCACAUUGGGACUGAGAUACGGCCCAGACUCCUACGGGAGGCAGCAGUGGGGAAUAUUGCACAAUGGGCGGAAGCCUGAUGCAGCAACGCCGCGUGCGGGAUGACGGCCUUCGGGUUGUAAACCGCUUUCGCCUGUGACGAAGCGUGAGUGACGGUAAUGGGUAAAGAAGCACCGGCUAACUACGUG
This 468-nucleotide ribosomal RNA is filed under the name uncultured bacterium. RNAcentral's name for it is "partial 16S ribosomal RNA". It matches the Rfam family "Bacterial small subunit ribosomal RNA", at positions 30 to 507 of the family's 1533-position model. The record is from RNAcentral.